RNAcentral lists this ribosomal RNA (435 nucleotides) under uncultured bacterium. Its description in RNAcentral is "partial 16S ribosomal RNA". It matches the Rfam family "Bacterial small subunit ribosomal RNA", at positions 29 to 507 of the family's 1533-position model. The record is from RNAcentral.
AACGAACGCUGGCGGCAUGCCUAACACAUGCAAGUCGAACGAUUGCCUUCUGCUGUUAGUGGCUCACGGGUUCGUAACGCGUGGGAAUCUGCCCUUAGGUUCGGAAUAACAGCUGGAAACGGCUUCUAAUACCGGAUGCUAUCGCCAGAUCAAAGAUUUAUCGCCUGAGGAUGAGCUCGCGUUGGAUUAGGUAGGUGGUUGGGUAAAGGCCUACCAAGCCGACGAUGCAUAGCUGGUCUGAGAGGAUGAUCAGCCACGCUGGGAAUGAGACACGGCCCAGAAUCGGACGGAAGGGAGGAGAGGGGAAUAUUGGAGAAGGGGGGCAAGCCUGAUCCAGCUAUGCCGGGGAAGAGAGGAAGGGGGUAGGGUUGUAAAGCUCUUUUAGACGGGAAGAUAAUGACUGUACCGGGAAAAUAAGCCCCGGCUAACUACGUG